RNAcentral lists this unclassified non-coding RNA (253 nucleotides) under uncultured Alphaproteobacteria bacterium. Its description in RNAcentral is "contains 16S-23S intergenic spacer region". It matches the Rfam family "Bacterial small subunit ribosomal RNA", at positions 524 to 776 of the family's 1533-position model. The record is from RNAcentral. Lineage: Bacteria; Pseudomonadati; Pseudomonadota; Alphaproteobacteria.
UACGAAGGGGGCUAGCGUUGUUCGGAAUUACUGGGCGUAAAGCGCACGUAGGCGGAUAUUUAAGUCGAGGGUGAAAUCCCGGGGCUCAACCCCGGAACUGCCUUCGAUACUGGGUAUCUUGAGUUCGAGAGAGGUGAGUGGAAUUCCGAGUGUAGAGGUGAAAUUCGUAGAUAUUCGGAGGAACACCAGUGGCGAAGGCGGCUCACUGGCUCGAAACUGACGCUGAGGUGCGAAAGCGUGGGGAGCAAACAGG